GAUGAACGCUGGCGGCGUGCCUAAUACAUGCAAGUCGAGCGAACAGACAAGGAGCUUGCUCCUUUGACGUUAGCGGCGGACGGGUGAGUAACACGUGGAUAACCUACCUAUAAGACUGAUAUAACUACGGGAAACCGGCGCUAAUCCCGGAUAACAUCUUGCACCGCAUGGUUCGAUAGUGAAAGACGGUUUUGCUGUAACUUAUAGAUGGACCCGCGCCGUAUUAGCUAGUUGGUAAGGUAACGGCUUACCAAGGCAACGAUACGUAGCCGACCUGAGAGGGUGAUCGGCCACACUGGAACUGAGACACGGUCCAGACUCCUACGGGAGGCAGCAGUAGGGAAUCUUCCGCAAUGGGCGAAAGCCUGACGGAGCAACGGCGCGUGAGUGAUGAAGGUCUUCGGAUCGUAAAACUCUGUUAUUAGGGAAGAACAAAUGUGUAAGUAACUGUGCACGUCUUGACGGUACCUAAUCAGAAAGCCACGGCUAACUACGUG
This 497-nucleotide ribosomal RNA is filed under the name uncultured bacterium. RNAcentral describes it as "partial 16S ribosomal RNA". It matches the Rfam family "Bacterial small subunit ribosomal RNA", at positions 28 to 507 of the family's 1533-position model. The record is from RNAcentral.